GAUUUGCGUUAGGGAUUGCAGCGGUUACCUCACGACUUUUUAGCGGAUUUAGGCUGAAAAGGAUGGGGAGUAAAAGCGGAAAGCCCGACCUGAG
This 94-nucleotide small RNA is filed under the name Arenibacter echinorum. RNAcentral's name for it is "Flavo-1 RNA". The record is from RNAcentral. Lineage: Bacteria; Pseudomonadati; Bacteroidota; Flavobacteriia; Flavobacteriales; Flavobacteriaceae.